This 1517-nucleotide ribosomal RNA is filed under the name Vibrio sp. RNAcentral describes it as "bacterial SSU rRNA". It matches the Rfam family "Bacterial small subunit ribosomal RNA". The record is from RNAcentral. Lineage: Bacteria; Pseudomonadati; Pseudomonadota; Gammaproteobacteria; Vibrionales; Vibrionaceae.
AGAGUUUGAUCCUGGCUCAGAUUGAACGCUGGCGGCAGGCCUAACACAUGCAAGUCGAGCGGAAACGAGUUAUCUGAACCUUCGGGGGACGAUAACGGCGUCGAGCGGCGGACGGGUGAGUAAUGCCUAGGAAAUUGCCCUGAUGUGGGGGAUAACCAUUGGAAACGAUGGCUAAUACCGCAUGAUGCCUACGGGCCAAAGAGGGGGACCUUCGGGCCUCUCGCGUCAGGAUAUGCCUAGGUGGGAUUAGCUAGUUGGUGAGGUAAGGGCUCACCAAGGCGACGAUCCCUAGCUGGUCUGAGAGGAUGAUCAGCCACACUGGAACUGAGACACGGUCCAGACUCCUACGGGAGGCAGCAGUGGGGAAUAUUGCACAAUGGGCGCAAGCCUGAUGCAGCCAUGCCGCGUGUGUGAAGAAGGCCUUCGGGUUGUAAAGCACUUUCAGUCGUGAGGAAGGUAGUGUAGUUAAUAGCUGCAUUAUUUGACGUUAGCGACAGAAGAAGCACCGGCUAACUCCGUGCCAGCAGCCGCGGUAAUACGGAGGGUGCGAGCGUUAAUCGGAAUUACUGGGCGUAAAGCGCAUGCAGGUGGUUUGUUAAGUCAGAUGUGAAAGCCCGGGGCUCAACCUCGGAAUAGCAUUUGAAACUGGCAGACUAGAGUACUGUAGAGGGGGGUAGAAUUUCAGGUGUAGCGGUGAAAUGCGUAGAGAUCUGAAGGAAUACCGGUGGCGAAGGCGGCCCCCUGGACAGAUACUGACACUCAGAUGCGAAAGCGUGGGGAGCAAACAGGAUUAGAUACCCUGGUAGUCCACGCCGUAAACGAUGUCUACUUGGAGGUUGUGGCCUUGAGCCGUGGCUUUCGGAGCUAACGCGUUAAGUAGACCGCCUGGGGAGUACGGUCGCAAGAUUAAAACUCAAAUGAAUUGACGGGGGCCCGCACAAGCGGUGGAGCAUGUGGUUUAAUUCGAUGCAACGCGAAGAACCUUACCUACUCUUGACAUCCAGAGAACUUUCCAGAGAUGGAUUGGUGCCUUCGGGAACUCUGAGACAGGUGCUGCAUGGCUGUCGUCAGCUCGUGUUGUGAAAUGUUGGGUUAAGUCCCGCAACGAGCGCAACCCUUAUCCUUGUUUGCCAGCGAGUAAUGUCGGGAACUCCAGGGAGACUGCCGGUGAUAAACCGGAGGAAGGUGGGGACGACGUCAAGUCAUCAUGGCCCUUACGAGUAGGGCUACACACGUGCUACAAUGGCGCAUACAGAGGGCGGCCAACUUGCGAAAGUGAGCGAAUCCCAAAAAGUGCGUCGUAGUCCGGAUUGGAGUCUGCAACUCGACUCCAUGAAGUCGGAAUCGCUAGUAAUCGUGGAUCAGAAUGCCACGGUGAAUACGUUCCCGGGCCUUGUACACACCGCCCGUCACACCAUGGGAGCGGGCUGCAAAAGAAGUAGGUAGUUUAACCUUCGGGGGGACGCUUACCACUUUGUGGUUCAUGACUGGGGUGAAGUCGUAACAAGGUAGCCGUA